CACAAGACCCUGCCCUCACGCGUGUCUCGCGCGCGCGCGCGCGCACACACACACACACACAGACACAGACAGACAGACAGAACGGGCCCCUCGGCGCGCACACGCGCUCCCCACGCCCCCAGCACAGACACACGCAGAGCGGCGAGCCACGCCACGCCUCUCCCGCGUCCCCACGCAGGCUCCGGAACACUCACACCUCCUCGGCGCGUCCUGGCCCUGCACACGCACCCACCGCCGUGUCACGCACACGUGCCGCACCCACCCGGCGCGCCGGGCCUCCCACACACGCGUGUAGCUCCUCCCCCCCACGCGCGUCGUGCCGCGGCCGCACGCGCGACCCCACCUGCUCUCCGCGCGCCCCUCGCGUGGCCCGACCUCCAUCCCGGGCGCGCGCGCGCGGCCCCGCCGGCCCCGCCCGCUGCCGCCGCGCCACCGUCACGUGGGAACGAGCUCCGCCCCGCCCCCGAACUACAGCUCCCGGCGUGCACCGCGGCUGCCCGGCACCCUCCGCGCGGCUCCCCUCAGCUUCCCGCUGCUGCGCGUCCACCGUCGCGGCGGUUACCCGGCCGCCGCCCUGACAGGGCCGGCAACCCGUGGGUCGGCGGGGUAGGGGAGGCUGCGGCGUCCUCCAGCCCGCCGCCAGCCCCGGAGGUAGGGGUACGUACACCCAGGUGUGUGUCCUCGGCCGCUGUGGCACCCCAAAGCGGUACGCUGCUGUCAGCCUGCAGCAGCUGAUUUGCCGAGCGGGUUACCGCCAGCUGCCUGAGUAAGGUGUUUGCACUGGGGUUUCGCUGCACCACAGCGUAAAACCACAAUAAUCGCUGAGAUAACCACUUACCAAAUCCUACUUAAGGGGUGGUGAGAACAUUGCGAUGGCAAGAAUAAAACCAAACAACAUGCACUAAGAGACAGCUCAAACAUUGAAUGUACCAGCGGAGACAGAAAGAGGGUUUCUAUUGCCUGCAGUAAAGAGGAUGUGAAAAAUAUUGCAGAAUUAUCCAUACUUUCCACUAAAAGGUACUGAAAUGAAACUUGAAGAAGGAAAAAGUGAUGCUGCUACCAUCAGACUGAGAACAGUCAAUGACAAAUUAUCACGGGAGACAAAACCCAGAUAUGUCUCUGGAAUCGUUUGAUGCCUCAUAAAACAAAGGUAGUCGUUUGCACAGUGGAAACAUCCUGUAACUGUUACUCUUAGUGCCAGGAUGUUCAGCAGGUGACAUCUAGUCUGCAAUUCCUCUGCAACGUACCAUAACAACAGGGGCUACUGGGCAGGCAAGCUGUGAAUCCUCAGAUUCGUGAGGAGACAGCUGGUGCUCAGGAAAAGCAGAGGAAGGGCCCAGGAAAGAACCAGCCCCAGAACUUACUACAGCCUGUGGAUGCUUUAGAUGCACUAUUUUCUGACAGUGGAUGCAAGCUCAGCAGGGCUUUAUACAGUUGAAGUACUAGUUCUUUUAACUCGCAAUGCUACAUGGAACCUUUUUCAUGGGGCUCAAUGCUGACACAGUCCUGAGAGCUAGACAGAAAACCAAGAGCUGAUGUUUGCAUGGUUGCCUCCACAAUCCCUAUGGCAUUUCAGCCAUUUUGAACGCAGAAGAAAAAUACUCUUCAGGAUCAGAACCUUUGCCUGGUUUUCUACUGUGCUGAGCAGCAGACAGCUGGUGUCCUGUGUGGAUAAUAAACGCAACCCAUGGAUGCGGUACAAUCUGGAUUAUGUCCGAUUUCCACCUGUCACGAGGGCAGGCAGUAUCUGCCGCCCACCUUUGCGGUUGACGUGUUUGUUUUGGGUAAACAGAGCAUUUGUUUAUCAGUGUGACACAGUCACCAGAUGCAGUUGCACCCUAUGGCAUCACAGGAAUUCGGUUUAAAGUGUUUUUUUUUUUAAUACAUUUUUUAUUUGACACUUA
This is a non-coding RNA of Phalacrocorax carbo (great cormorant), 1904 nucleotides long. NCBI's taxonomy places the organism in Eukaryota, Metazoa, Chordata, Aves, Suliformes, Phalacrocoracidae. The record is from RefSeq and is a predicted model, not a curated record.